This 738-nucleotide ribosomal RNA is filed under the name Gymnosiphon refractus. RNAcentral's name for it is "eukaryotic LSU rRNA". The stretch from base 307 to 462 matches the Rfam family "5.8S ribosomal RNA". Lineage: Eukaryota; Viridiplantae; Streptophyta; Magnoliopsida; Dioscoreales; Burmanniaceae. The record is from RNAcentral.
GAACCUGCGGAAGGAUCAUUGUCGAUACUCGAGGAAAAAAAUUGAUGGAAAUUUGUCAUCAAAGUUGUGCCUGUUUGAUAAGGGUGGAUAGGAUCAGAUGGCAGCUGAUGUUUUGCACUCGUUCUCUAGCCAUCUUUAUCAUUCGGAUGUUGCCUGCCGUCCUCCCUGCAAUGGGUUAGCGGUAGAUGAUUUUACAAGUCUGACACGAUAUGUGUCAAGGAUCUUUAGUGCACUUAUGGCAUCCGUUGAGUUUUUUUGGCAACUCGACUUUUGGUUAUAAGAGCUAUCGAAGUGAUAUUUUUUUAUGACUCUCGGCAACGGAUAUCUUGGCUCUCGCAUCGAUGAAGAACGUAGCGAAAUGCGAUACUUGGUGUGAAUUGCAGAAUCCCGUGAACCAUCGAGUUUUUGAACGCAAGUUGCGCCCAAGGCCUUUUGGUCGAGGGCAUGUCUGCCUGGGCGUCAUGCCUCGUGUCACUCCAUAUAUCCCAUGUGUCGGACAUAUGGAUAGUUGGAAGUGGAGAUUGGUUUACCAUGUCUCUAAUGGUGUGGUGAGCUGAAGAAAGCGAAGCCAAUGUUGUUUACGGACACGACUUGUGGUGGGUGGACAAAUCUAUUGGCCGAGACCGAUGUCGUUCCUUUUCUUUGGCUUCUAUUAUGAAUACCCCUUUUGGGGACUAUAUCUCGCGUGCGACCCCAGGUCAGGCGUGACUACCCGCUGAGUUUAAGCAUAUCAAUAAG